This 255-nucleotide ribosomal RNA is filed under the name uncultured bacterium. Its description in RNAcentral is "partial 16S ribosomal RNA". It matches the Rfam family "Bacterial small subunit ribosomal RNA", at positions 99 to 354 of the family's 1533-position model. The record is from RNAcentral.
CGGACGGGUGAGUAACGCGUGGGCAACCUGCCCUUAUCUGGGGGAUAACAGUUGGAAACGACUGAUAAUACCGCAUAAUAUGGUUUGAAGGCAUCUUCUUUCCAUCAAAGAUUUAUCGGAUAAGGAUGGGCCCGCGUCUGAUUAGCUUGUUGGUGAGGUAACGGCUCACCAAGGCGACGAUCAGUAGCCGACCUGAGAGGGUGAUCGGCCACAUCGGAACUGAGACACGGUCCAAACUCCUACGGGAGGCAGCAG